RNAcentral lists this ribosomal RNA (253 nucleotides) under uncultured Rikenellaceae bacterium. RNAcentral describes it as "partial 16S ribosomal RNA". It matches the Rfam family "Bacterial small subunit ribosomal RNA", at positions 524 to 776 of the family's 1533-position model. Lineage: Bacteria; Pseudomonadati; Bacteroidota; Bacteroidia; Bacteroidales; Rikenellaceae. The record is from RNAcentral.
UACGGAGGAUGCGAGCGUUAUCCGGAUUUAUUGGGUUUAAAGGGUGCGUAGGCGGUUUGAUAAGUUAGAGGUGAAAUGUCGGGGCUCAACCCCGAAACUGCCUCUAAUACUGUUGGACUAGAGAAUAGUUGCGGUACGCGGAAUGCGUGGUGUAGCGGUGAAAUGCAUAGAUAUCACGCAGAACCCCGAUUGCGAAGGCAGCGUACCGGCGCCCAACUGACGCUGAAGCACGAAAGCGUGGGUAUCGAACAGG